RNAcentral lists this ribosomal RNA (418 nucleotides) under uncultured cyanobacterium. Its description in RNAcentral is "bacterial SSU rRNA". It matches the Rfam family "Bacterial small subunit ribosomal RNA", at positions 32 to 497 of the family's 1533-position model. The record is from RNAcentral. Lineage: Bacteria; Bacillati; Cyanobacteriota.
AACGCUGGCGGCGUGCUUAACACAUGCAAGUCGAACGAACCUUCGGGUUAGUGGCGGACGGGUGAGUAACGCGUGGGAAUCUGCCCUCAGGAGGGGGAUAACGGUUGGAAACGGCCGCUAAUACCCCAUAUGCCGAGAGGUGAAAUGAAUUUCGCCUGAGGAUGAGCCCGCGUCUGAUUAGCUAGUUGGUGAGGUAAGAGCUCACCAAGGCAUCGAUCAGUAGCUGGUCUGAGAGGAUGAUCAGCCACACUGGGACUGAGACACGGCCCAGACUCCUACGGGAGGCAGCAGUGGGGAAUUUUCCGCAAUGGGCGAAAGCCUGACGGAGCAACGCCGCGUGAGGGAUGAAGGCCUCUGGGCUGUAAACCUCUUUUAUCAAGGAAGAAGAUCUGACGGUACUUGAUGAAUAAGCCACGGC